CUCGCGAGCCCUACCUCGUCUCCAGUCGCAGCCGCCGCCGCACCCCAAUCCAACCCCGCCGCUGGCGAUCUCCUCGCCCCGCUGCGCCGCCGCCGGCAAGGGAAGGGAAGGGAAGGGAAGGGAGAGGGAGCGCCCAGAUCCACGCCCAUCGAUCUACCAGCUGGCCACCACCCCCUCCCUCCCCAGCCGGUCGCCACGGCGCCACCACCCCCUGGGCAGCCAUGCACAUCGGUAGGCGGCCACACGACAGGUGGGUCUCGGCCUCCCUCCUCCCAUCGUCCAAGGCCAGGAGCUCCCCUCCCCGCCGCGCCCUCGCCACGCACCUGUCCUCCCCCGCCGCGCACCUGUCCUCCCACGCCGCGCCGCCGCUGCUCGCCUAUGUCGUCCCCCGCCGCGUCGCCGCCGCUCGCCCUGCUCCCCAUCCUCGGCCUCACACCCGUCGCAUCGUCUCCUCCUCCCGCCCCUCGGUGCUCAACAGGAGGAGCCUGACUCGCCGCCGGCCCUCACGAGAGAGAGGUCUCCGCCCCCGGUCAGCUCUGGCUGCCUCCACCACCACAUAUUGGCAGGAGACCCCCGCCGCUCCUCCAUUGCAUGGCCAUCACCGAGAGGAGCAGCGGCUGGAGGCGUCGUCAUUGGCUGGAGGAGCAAUGGGCCGACAUCCUCGCGUUCAUGCACCUCCGGGAAGAACGACCCGAGGGGAGAAGCCCCCGAUCCGCUGUGCAAAGUGAGCGAGAUGUGGUCCCGUCGUUGUUGGCUGUUGAAUUUGUGCUGCAGUCCAUGCCCACCACGUCCGUGUCUUCGCCCCUUUGUCAUCCAACACAAACAGCAGAACGGAGCAACAACCGCGGUUUGCGAGGUCAGAGAACUGCCGCAGCUUGCUGCCAUGUACAGCUCGCCCUUCUUCUAUGCCAAAAGCCCCUCGAUUGAAGCUCCAACUCAAUUGCAAAUCAAAAUUACCAACCCAGAUAAUCUCUCCGGAACAACGCCUAGCUCGCCGUGCUCCACUCACUCUAACAGCAUAUCUCAUAACCGAAGGCAUGAACAAGUGCUUCAGUAUUGCUGGUGGCAAUCCAUUGCUUGAGGUGACAUCGUGUGCAAGAUUAUCCCCAUGGAGGGUGCUGGCACGGUGACACCCUCCUCGACCUGUUGAUCCCAUGACUUAGGUCACCGAGGCAGACGAGGUUAUGGAUUACCUGAUGAGAAGCGAGCCAUCGCCGGCGGGCUAACGCUGUUGCACGUCAUGGCGGGGACGGCCUUGUGGCAGUCGUGCGUGCGCUACUCGAGUUGGGCACCGAUGUGGAGGCCCCUGGUCAGAAGGGACGCGGCUGGAGCUGCUGCUGGAGGAGACGCGGAAGCGUUGGACCCGACUCCUUUGUGCAGCCAUGCUAGCCUGCUGGAAGAUCCAUGGCCUGCCUGGCCAGCGUGACCAUUGAACAAAUCGUCUCUCAAAACCCUCCCUCCUCCUCGCGGCAUGGAGCUAAUUUGACUCCUAAAGCCAGUAAGAGGGUUCCCUGGAUGGUCAAUAAGGGGAUGAUGCCAAUUAGUCUGGAUUCUGGAACAAUGCUAACAUUCAAAUCCUUGACGUGUUGGUGCAUCCGUGCUUUGAUAAAAAAACAAUUAGGUAUGCUUCUCAGUUCUCACUACCUCUGCGUGAAAACCAAAAUUACAAAUCAUUAUUUGUUAUUUCCAACUAUUUUUUGUGGCUGAUUGGACAAUAUUUCCGUUUCUAACUUCCUUCCUUCGAAUGACUUGCCAAUGAUCUUUCACAAUUUUAUAGUGUUUACUUUAUUUCUGUAACUGAUAUCCUUUAAAUUCAAUUUGUUUUAAAGGUUCACCAUGUUUCUUUAACAAAAUUUAUCCAGUGAAUUGGUAUGUCUGCUCCACUGGGCAGCAGCUGCAACCUUUCAACUUUGGCUCUUGCACCAUUGUUUCAUAGGUGUAUGCUCUAUUUUCCUGUCUAGUCAUUUGGUCUUUAUAUUCAGCUUGUGUUUGUCAAGAGCUUAUUCGGUCAAAGGUUAUAAGAGAUAUGACAGUGCCUUUGUUGCGCUAAGGAAUAUGGGGUCAUGAAAAAUCAAGGUUUGUUCUUGCUUCAUUAUGUUUCCCACCAAUUGUUUUGUUAUACACCUUGUUCUUACUACUUGCAUGUGACAGCCGGAGCAGUAGGCAAAAUUCUAUUUCUUCUUCUAGAUUGCUAUACCAUUGUACAAGAAUCAGAAUAUCAGUGCAAUUGUGCCUUUUCAGUCCAUAUUUAACAAUGACAAAAAAUUAUUUUCCUUUCGUUUCUGUUUCACUUGUGUCUGCACCGGAGAAUGUUCAUCCUUGCCUUCCAUCACUGGAGAAUAUUCAUCCUUACUCACUUGGCCUACUGUAACAAUGCUAAUUUCUCUGCCAUCUAAUUGCUCCAUACACUUAGUUUGUUUAUAUCUAGAGUUCACAUAGGGAUUAGUAAACAAAUAGUCUUUUUUAAUCAAACGGCCAUGCAGGUUUGAGCAAGCUCAAAGUAGGCUGGGGAGGAUGACCAAUGAUUAUACUGAUGUUGGUCAAAGCCAUAUUUUUUGUGCAGGUCCUAGCGAGCUCAUCGCCCACGUAAAAUAUUCCUUGAUGGUGGUCCAUAUUUUUUGUGCAUAUUUAGCUCAGUAUUCGGCCAAACACUUUAACUUGUAUAUCGUAAGAAAGAAAAUGUACAAUUUUUUACUGAGAAGCAGUAAAUCUCUUGAUUACUAAAAUUGUCAGACACCUUUGUGGUUCACAAGUAUACUUGUCUACGACCGCGUACGCCCACGCAUUCGAGCCACCAGGACCUUUAAGGAGACCUUGCCAGGCAAUACUUGGGCGCUGGACUUGGGACCAGUCAUUGAUUUUCCAUGCCUGAAACAGUUUUGGAUGCUAUGGCCACGGAUUGCUGAUGUUUAGCUCACGGAAGGAGCAGAGGACCCCAUAAGAUGGGCGUGGAAGAGUAGUGGCAUGUUCUCCGUUUGCCCUACAUAUGCCUCAAAAUUCGGAGGAAGCGAUGUGGUACCAUACGCGGACGUCACAUGGAACUCGAAGGCCGCCCUUCAAUGUCAAUUCUUCACUUGGCUAGCCAUGUGGAACCGUUGUUGGACGUCCGUUCGACUCACCAAGAGAGGCUUGCCCACCAUGACACAUGCCCCUUCUACAAAGCCGACGAGACCAUUAACCAUCUACUCAUCGAAUGCAUCUUCACACGAUGGUCGAUCGGUGUGGCACAUGGUGUGGUCGGCUAUUGGAAAUCCGGACCAAGCUCCCACUGUUGAUGAUAACUUAGUGUUAUGGUGUGACUCCAAAAGAUGUGGAGGUCAAAAGGUGAAUGAAACGAGGGCCAUUCUUUUAUUUUUUGCAAAAUGAAACGAGGACCAUUCUCUCGCUAAUCACUCGAGAACUUUGUAAAUACCGCAAUGCCAUUGUCUUUGGCGGAGCAACACUUUCUGUGCUUACGAUCACAAGAAAAUUUUGACCGAAGGGAGGACAUGCAGCAAGCCGGGCUACUCAAGGGUAGGUGGGUUAGUACAGAGUAGUUAAUCAUUGUGGCCGAUAGACGGUGGGCUACCAUGUAAUAUAU
Long non-coding RNA from Triticum dicoccoides, 3580 nucleotides. RefSeq lists it as uncharacterized. The transcript has 6 exons. NCBI's taxonomy places the organism in Eukaryota, Viridiplantae, Streptophyta, Magnoliopsida, Poales, Poaceae. The record is from RefSeq and is a predicted model, not a curated record.